GGCUAUUGCCACGGCAGUGAUAUUAAAUACUCCGUUAUUCUAUUUUUCUCAUCUCUCUCGUAAUCUUGUUCACUCUCCUCAGACCUUACCACCUCAGUUCUCUCUCCUCUCUCUUUAUCUCGUCCUCCCUCUUUUCUUCCUCAAAGACGAAGGCAACCAUCGCCGCAGCCGUAGCCGCAACCACAUCCACAACCACCGUCGCUCACAAAUUAAAUUCUCUUUCUUUCUUCUCCCUCCUCAUUCACUGAUGGUCACGGUGGUGAUGGUGGUCGCGAGUGAUAACGACGGUGCUGUUCGAUUUUUAGAGUUUUGAUUGGUGUUCAUGGGUUUCGAUUUGUAACUGUUGGUGAUGGUGGAGAGCAGCGAUGGUGAGUUUCGAUUUGUAAUUGAUGGCGGUGGAGGAGAGUUGCUGAACUAACGUCGCUCAAACUCCAGCUUCGUGCCCUGAUCUUUGAGGGAUUUAGAUCCAUUGUAUAUGUGUAAAUAGUGCUCUAGAGGUGGAUACUGCUGAAGAAGAUGCUUCCCAAAUUGUUCCCGAGUUGCUUUACUUGAGAAAUUGGAGAAGCAGAUAAAGAAAUGAUAAUGCUGUCCAAAGAAUUGCUGAAAAUAUUGUUUGGGGGACAAAAUUGUUUGGUUUUAACUUUUAAUUGUGUUUUUCUUAGUUUAACUAUUGAUAAUUUAAUUUUGUAAUUUUCCUUAUAGAUAACAAUGUACAAACUUUUGAUUUAUAUUAAUAAAAUUCUAAAUUUUUUUUUUUUGAAAAUUC
Molecule: long non-coding RNA, 766 nt
Organism: Chenopodium quinoa (quinoa)
Lineage: Eukaryota; Viridiplantae; Streptophyta; Magnoliopsida; Caryophyllales; Amaranthaceae
Exons: 3
Source: RefSeq, a predicted model, not a curated record